Podarcis raffonei (Aeolian wall lizard) is the source of this 242-nucleotide long non-coding RNA. RefSeq lists it as uncharacterized. The transcript is spliced from 3 exons. NCBI's taxonomy places the organism in Eukaryota, Metazoa, Chordata, Lepidosauria, Squamata, Lacertidae. The record is from RefSeq and is a predicted model, not a curated record.
GGACAACAGAUCCACACCUGGGAGCGUGAUGGAGGGUGAAGGGAUCCGCUGUGGUCCAGGACAAGCUGCACUUGCUGCUCAGGAGAACUUGAUGGCAGCUGAAGAGAACCCAGUUGAUCAAAGACGUGCUGGAACUUCUGUUCAGGAAAUUGAAGCACUGAGGAUGGAAGUCAGAAGACUUAAGAGGGAGGUGAAGUCAAUGUAUAGAGAAGUUGCAAUGAUACGCAGAAAAAGCCAGGAAA